RNAcentral lists this ribosomal RNA (714 nucleotides) under uncultured bacterium. Its description in RNAcentral is "bacterial SSU rRNA". It matches the Rfam family "Bacterial small subunit ribosomal RNA", at positions 62 to 736 of the family's 1533-position model. The record is from RNAcentral.
UCGAGCGAGUCUGCCUUGAAGAUCGGAGUGCUUGCACUCUGUGAAACAAGAUACAGGCUAGCGGCGGACGGGUGAGUAACACGUGGGUAACCUGCCCAAGAGAUCGGGAUAACACCUGGAAACAGAUGCUAAUACCGGAUAACAACAGAUGAUGCCUAUCAACUGUUUAAAAGAUGGUUCUGCUAUCACUCUUGGAUGGACCUGCGGUGCAUUAGCUAGUUGGUAGGGUAACGGCCUACCAAGGCGAUGAUGCAUAGCCGAGUUGAGAGACUGAUCGGCCACAUUGGGACUGAGACACGGCCCAAACUCCUACGGGAGGCAGCAGUAGGGAAUCUUCCACAAUGGACGCAAGUCUGAUGGAGCAACGCCGCGUGAGUGAAGAAGGGUUUCGGCUCGUAAAGCUCUGUUGUUGGUGAAGAAGGACAGGGGUAGUAACUGACCUUUGUUUGACGGUAAUCAAUUAGAAAGUCACGGCUAACUACGUGCCAGCAGCCGCGGUAAUACGUAGGUGGCAAGCGUUGACCGGAUUUAUUGGGCGUAAAGCGAGUGCAGGCGGCUCGAUAAGUCUGAUGUGAAAGCCUUCGGCUCAACCGGAGAAUUGCAUCAGAAACUGUCGAGCUUGAGUACAGAAGAGGAGAGUGGAACUCCAUGUGUAGCGGUGAAAUGCGUAGAUAUAUGGAAGAACACCGGUGGCGAAGGCGGCUCUCUGGUCUG